UACGUAGGGUGCGAGCGUUGUCCGGAAUUAUUGGGCGUAAAGGGCUCGUAGGCGGUUUGUCGCGUCGGGAGUGAAAACUCAGGGCUUAACCCUGAGCCUGCUCCCGAUACGGGCAGACUAGAGGUAUGCAGGGGAGAACGGGAUUCCUGGUGUAGCGGUGAAAUGCGCAGAUAUCAGGAGGAACACCGGUGGCGAAGGCGGUUCUCUGGGCAUUACCUGACGCUGAGGAGCGAAAGUGUGGGGAGCGAACAGG
This 253-nucleotide ribosomal RNA is filed under the name uncultured bacterium. RNAcentral's name for it is "partial 16S ribosomal RNA". It matches the Rfam family "Bacterial small subunit ribosomal RNA", at positions 524 to 776 of the family's 1533-position model. The record is from RNAcentral.